This 83-nucleotide small RNA is filed under the name Oxyrrhis marina. RNAcentral describes it as "partial Cyanobacteria transfer-messenger RNA". Lineage: Eukaryota; Dinophyceae; Oxyrrhinales; Oxyrrhinaceae. The record is from RNAcentral.
GUCUGCUGUGGACACGGUUCGAUUGGGAAGUGCGCUUUCGCUCAGGUCCACUGCUCGACUUGGAAGUGCAAUGACGUCGAUGG